This 795-nucleotide long non-coding RNA is filed under the name Mytilus galloprovincialis (Mediterranean mussel). Lineage: Eukaryota; Metazoa; Mollusca; Bivalvia; Mytilida; Mytilidae. The record is from RNAcentral.
GCAUGAGUAGCCCGGGUUCCUAAUCCUUAUAUGUAUAGGGUUGAUAGAGACAAGUGUUCAGGAAUUCUAUGGAAACACCUUGAAUUUUAAUGAGAACUAAAGUUACAACAGACAUCGUCGGGUUGAAUGAAUUGUACAUCCAUUUAAUUCCUAAAACUAAGAACAAGUUUUUGGAUGCUUGAAACCACUGUUACAUAUGUUGCCACGACAAUCCAUCUGUUCACUUAAAAAAAAAAAUAGCUAAUAAAAUAUACGCAAUACAGGGUCAUUUUGAUACUGUUACAGUUAACAUAUAUAUUUAAUUGCAAAAUCUCUCUGGGGAUCUCCUGUAAAACAUGUGUUUUUGUUUUAUAUGAGACAAUAAAGGAAUUAUUACGUUAGCCUAGCUGAUCAUUAAGACGAGGGAUUUAAUUAAUGUUUGGUAAUUCAGUUAUUGACUUCUUAGUUCUAAAUUGAUGCAUUUUUACAAUAACAUGGCCUUUAAGCACCUGCGACCAUAAUUGUGUAAAUUGAAUGUUUUAUACGACACAUAAAACACAAAUUGAUGGACUCCUAAUAUGUAAACGAUAGCAGUUAAGUGUAGAUAUUAUACUCAAGAGGACGAAAAACAUUCAUAGUAGAUUCAUUUCAUUUAAGGUGACGAGUGCCUACGGAAGCGGUCAUUCAGGAAAUAUUAGAUAUGCCAAUGAUGGUUAAACUGCGUUUAACCCCUGUUCCGACAUGAAAUGAUCGCCAUUUAAUUGACAUACAAAUCUUUUUUUAAAGUAUUUUGGAAAGUUUCAACUAAACCGUCGC